Molecule: transfer RNA, 82 nt
Filed under: Candidatus Magasanikiibacteriota bacterium
Lineage: Bacteria; Candidatus Magasanikiibacteriota
Description: tRNA-Leu
Rfam family: tRNA
About the family: Transfer RNA (tRNA) molecules are approximately 80 nucleotides in length. Their secondary structure includes four short double-helical elements and three loops (D, anti-codon, and T loops).
Source: RNAcentral
GGGUGAGUGGCGGAACUGGUAUACGCGUACGUCUCAGAAGCGUGUGGAGCAAUCCUUGGGAGUUCAAGUCUCCCCUCGUCCA